Molecule: non-coding RNA, 142 nt
Filed under: Citrobacter rodentium
Lineage: Bacteria; Pseudomonadati; Pseudomonadota; Gammaproteobacteria; Enterobacterales; Enterobacteriaceae
Also listed under: 1 other name
Description: MoCo sequence
Rfam family: Molybdenum/Tungsten riboswitch aptamer (Moco RNA motif)
Source: RNAcentral
AUAAUUUAAAAACACUCUAGCCUCUGCACCUGGGUCAACUGAUACGGUGCUUUGGCCGUGGCGGCGCAAAGGCGCUGUCACCAGGGUGCAGGAAGAAAUGACUGCGCCUCCCGUACUGGAAAGGUGUACAUGGCCUCACAAC